AUGGCUCCCAAGAACGCGCUCCCCGUCGCCGUCGCCGCCGCCGCAGACGGCGGCAUGGAGCCCAGGUUCCGCGGCGUGCGGAAGCGGCCGUGGGGCAGGUACGCGGCGGAGAUCCGCGACCCGGCCAGGAAGGCGCGCGUCUGGCUCGGCACCUUCGACACCGCCGAGGCCGCCGCGCGCGCCUACGACGCCGCCGCGCUCCACUACCGCGGGCCCAAGGCCAACACCAACUUCCCCGUCGGCACCGUCGCCGCCUACACGCACAUCCCGCUCCCGCCGCCCAAGGCGCUGGCCGUGAGCCCCAGCAGCAGCACCGUCGAGUCGUCGUCCCGGGACACGCCGGCCGCGGCGCCCGCCGCUCCUGCUGUUGCUGCCCCCGCGGCCCCGCCGGCGCUCGACCUGAGCCUGGCGAUGCCGACCAUGGUGGCGGCGCAGCCGUUCCUGUUCCUGGACCCCAGGGUCGCGGUGACCGUGGCCGUGGCAGCGCCGGCGCCGGCGCCGGCGCCGUGCCGGUCAGCGGCGAUCAGCGGCAUGAACAAGGUGGCGUCCCACGAGGAAGAGCAGAGCGACACCGGGUCGUCGUCAUCCGUGGUGGACGCCUCGCCGGCCGUGGGCGUGGGGUUUGACCUGAACCUGCCGCCGCCGGUGGAGAUGGCAUAG
RNAcentral lists this ribosomal RNA (660 nucleotides) under Triticum aestivum (bread wheat). RNAcentral describes it as "partial small subunit ribosomal RNA". Lineage: Eukaryota; Viridiplantae; Streptophyta; Magnoliopsida; Poales; Poaceae. The record is from RNAcentral.